Molecule: ribosomal RNA, 481 nt
Filed under: uncultured bacterium
Lineage: Bacteria
Description: partial 16S ribosomal RNA
Rfam family: Bacterial small subunit ribosomal RNA
Source: RNAcentral
UGGGGAAUAUUGCACAAUGGGCGCAAGCCUGAUGCAGCCAUGCCGCGUGUGUGAAGAAGGCCUUCGGGUUGUAAAGCACUUUCAGCGAGGAGGAAGGCGUUAAGGUUAAUAACCUUGGCGAUUGACGUUACUCGCAGAAGAAGCACCGGCUAACUCCGUGCCAGCAGCCGCGGUAAUACGGAGGGUGCAAGCGUUAAUCGGAAUUACUGGGCGUAAAGCGCACGCAGGCGGUUUGUUAAGUCAGAUGUGAAAUCCCCGAGCUUAACUUGGGAACUGCAUUUGAAACUGGCAAGCUAGAGUCUUGUAGAGGGGGGUAGAAUUCCAGGUGUAGCGGUGAAAUGCGUAGAGAUCUGGAGGAAUACCGGUGGCGAAGGCGGCCCCCUGGACAAAGACUGACGCUCAGGUGCGAAAGCGUGGGGCAGCAAACAGGAUUAGAUACCCUGGUAGUCCACGCUGUAAAACGAUGUCGACUUUGGAGGUU